GCUCCCUUAGUUCAAUGGAAGAACAAGGGUCUUCUAAGCCCUAAGUUGUAAGUUCGAGUCUUACAGGGAGUA
RNAcentral lists this transfer RNA (72 nucleotides) under Crassvirales sp. RNAcentral's name for it is "tRNA-Arg". It matches the Rfam family "tRNA". From Rfam's summary of the family: Transfer RNA (tRNA) molecules are approximately 80 nucleotides in length. Their secondary structure includes four short double-helical elements and three loops (D, anti-codon, and T loops). The record is from RNAcentral. Lineage: Duplodnaviria; Heunggongvirae; Uroviricota; Caudoviricetes; Crassvirales.